GCCAAUGGAUCAGAUAAAGAUCAAGGUACUCCAACUGAAGAGCCUUGAGACUCUUCUGAAGGGCAGGAAUAACAAGAUUACUGUGAGCAUCGCUGCACCAUAGCUUGGAGGUGAUGAAGAGCUCCUCUCUGGAUUUUAUUAGGCCACGAGAUAAUGCUUCAAUAAUGGCUUCACCGAGUGGCUCCUCUGUUCGAUAUAAUGUGGCUGUAUCGAAGUGUCUAUAACCAAGCUCGAUUGCUUGGAGAAUCGCUGUUUUAAUUUCAUCUGAACCUACUAGAGGAGAAGUUGCUGUUCCCAUGCCCAGUAGUGGCAAUCUAGGACCGCUAGAACCAAGAAGCACUUCUGGGAUGUUAACCAAUGAAUUGCCAUCCAUCUCUGAUCUGAAAAGUUUUCUUUUUCUUUUCUUAACAAGUUUACAGUAUAAGAAGUUUCCA
RNAcentral lists this unclassified non-coding RNA (434 nucleotides) under Hevea brasiliensis (rubber tree). The record is from RNAcentral. Lineage: Eukaryota; Viridiplantae; Streptophyta; Magnoliopsida; Malpighiales; Euphorbiaceae.